UACGGGGGGGGCAAGCGUUGUUCGGAAUUACUGGGCGUAAAGGGCUCGUAGGCGGCCAACUAAGUCAGACGUGAAAUCCCUCGGCUUAACCGGGGAACUGCGUCUGAUACUGGAUGGCUUGAAUCCGGGAGAGGGAUGCAGAAUUCCAGGUGUAGCGGUGAAAUGCGUAGAUAUCUGGAGGAAUACCGGUGGCGAAGGCGGCAUCCUGGACCGGCAUUGACGCUGAGGAGCGAAAGCUAGGGGAGCAAACGGG
Molecule: ribosomal RNA, 253 nt
Filed under: uncultured bacterium
Lineage: Bacteria
Description: partial 16S ribosomal RNA
Rfam family: Bacterial small subunit ribosomal RNA
Source: RNAcentral